Molecule: long non-coding RNA, 729 nt
Organism: Amphimedon queenslandica
Lineage: Eukaryota; Metazoa; Porifera; Demospongiae; Haplosclerida; Niphatidae
Exons: 2
Source: RefSeq, a predicted model, not a curated record
GUGAGACCUUGUUUUAUGUACAUUCAAUUAUUCUAUUUUGUAUUUAUUAGGAUGUGUCAAGAUGAACUCAAACAAUGGAACAUUUUAUAUAAUUUCUGUACUUGUUGGAUGGGCUGAAGCAUUCAUAAUGUGUCUCCAUAUCUUGUUAUGCCAAGCUUAGGACUGAUGUCAUCAUUAAUAAGUCUUAGAUUCAAGCAAGUUCAAGUCGUAUUUACCUCUUCAUAUUUGAGUGAAAAGACAUCAAGAUCACAUUACAAACAUUGUUCUUUUUUAAUAAAAAUAAUUUUCAUAAAUUGUCUUACAAAUGCAGCGAAUGAACAGCAAUAUACGGCAGCGUAUUAUAAUGCAAACACAAUUGAAGUCCAUAUGAACUGAUGGCAAAUCAUUCUACACAUCUAUCAAUGCUAUGCAGCAACAGAAAUGUCAAAGCUGUCUAUAGGGAAGAUCAUUUUGAUCCAGGAAAAGAGAAUUUUUACACAUUGGCUCACUACAGAAGUUGGAUUAUAAUGAAGAAUUUUUUCAAGUGUGUUAGCAGUCUAAAUCUGAUUGUUGUUUGGCAUCAAUAGGUAGACAUGCACAAUUGCUUGUUAUAAAAAAUUAAAGUGCUAAAUUUGGUUGAACAACUGCAGAGAUAUUCAGGUAAACAUGCUUUAUGCAUACUUAAUAAGGGGGUGGGGCUGAAGGUUUUUAGCUGAAAACUCCAAGGUUUUACAUCACAAGUCCAAAAAA